This 760-nucleotide ribosomal RNA is filed under the name uncultured bacterium. RNAcentral describes it as "bacterial SSU rRNA". It matches the Rfam family "Bacterial small subunit ribosomal RNA", at positions 667 to 1428 of the family's 1533-position model. The record is from RNAcentral.
UUNCACGUGUAGCAGUGAAAUGCGUAGAGAUGUGGAGGAACACCGAUGGCGGAGGCAGCCUCCUGGGAUAACACUGACGUUCAUGCCCGAAAGCGUGGGUAGCAAACAGGAUUAGAUACCCUGGUAGUCCACGCCCUAAACGAUGUCGAUUAGCUGUUGGGCAGCAUGACUGCUUAGUAGCGAAGCUAACGCGUGAAAUCGACCGCCUGGGGAGUACGGUCGCAAGAUUAAAACUCAAAGGAAUUGACGGGGACCCGCACAAGCGGUGGAUGAUGUGGAUUAAUUCGAUGCAACGCGAAGAACCUUACCUGGUCUUGACAUGUACGGAAUCCUUCAGAGACGGAGGGGUGCCUUCGGGAGCCGUAACACAGGUGCUGCAUGGCUGUCGUCAGCUCGUGUCGUGAGAUGUUGGGUUAAGUCCCGCAACGAGCGCAACCCUUGUCAUUAGUUGCCAUCAUUAAGUUGGGCACUCUAAUGAGACUGCCGGUGACAAGCCGGAGGAAGGUGGGGAUGACGUCAAGUCCUCAUGGCCCUUAUGACCAGGGCUUCACACGUCAUACAAUGGUCGGUACAGAGGGUAGCCAAGCCGCGAGGCGGAGCCAAUCUCACAAAACCGAUCGUAGUCCGGAUUGCACUCUGCAACUCGAGUGCAUGAAGUCGGAAUCGCUAGUAAUCGCAGGUCAGCAUACUGCGGUGAAUACGUUCCCGGGUCUUGUACACACCGCCCGUCACACCAUGGGAGUGGGGGAUACCAGAAGUA